GGACUACAGGGGUAUCUAAUCCUGUUUGAUCCCCACGCUUUCGUGCCUCAGCGUCAAUAUAUGCUUAGUUAGCUGCCUUCGCAAUCGGUGUUCUAUAACAUAUCUAUGCAUUUCACCGCUACAUGUUAUAUUCCGCCAACCUCAACAUAAUUCAAGGCUAAUAGUAUCCAAGGCAGUUUCCGAGUUGAGCUCGGAGAUUUCACCCCAGACUUAAUAGCCCGCCUACACACCCUUUAAACCCAGUAAAUCCGGAUAACGCUUGCACCCUCCGUAUUACCGCGGCUGCUGGCAC
RNAcentral lists this ribosomal RNA (292 nucleotides) under uncultured Bacteroidota bacterium. RNAcentral describes it as "uncultured Bacteroidetes bacterium partial 16S ribosomal RNA". The record is from RNAcentral. Lineage: Bacteria; Pseudomonadati; Bacteroidota.